UACGGGGGGGGUAAGCGUUGUUCGGAAUUACUGGGCGUAAAGGGCUCGUAGGUGGCCAACUAAGUCAGACGUGAAAUCCCUCAGCUUAACUGGGGAACUGCGUCUGAUACUGGAUGGCUUGAGUUUGGGAGAGGGAUGCGGAAUUCCAGGUGUAGCGGUGAAAUGCGUAGAUAUCUGGAGGAACACCGGUGGCGAAGGCGGCAUCCUGGACCAACACUGACACUGAGGCGCGACAGCGUGGGGAGCGAACUGG
Molecule: ribosomal RNA, 253 nt
Filed under: uncultured bacterium
Lineage: Bacteria
Description: partial 16S ribosomal RNA
Rfam family: Bacterial small subunit ribosomal RNA
Source: RNAcentral